Odocoileus virginianus texanus is the source of this 488-nucleotide non-coding RNA. NCBI's taxonomy places the organism in Eukaryota, Metazoa, Chordata, Mammalia, Artiodactyla, Cervidae. The record is from RefSeq and is a predicted model, not a curated record.
CUAGCGACAGAGUCUGGAGAAGACGCGCAGAAAUGGCACCUCGCAAGGGGAAAGAAAAGAAGGAAGAACAGGUCAUCAGCCUCGGCCCUCAGGUGGCUGAAGAAGAAAAUGUAUUUGGUGUGUGCCACAUCUUCGCAUCCUUCAACGACACUUUUGUGCACAUCACUGAUCUCUCUGGCAAGGAAACCAUCUGCCGUGUAACUUGUGGGAUGAAGGUGAAGGCUGACCGAGAUGAGUCCUCUCCAUAUGCUGCCAUGUUGGCUGCCUAGGAUGUAGACCAGAGAUGCAAGGAGCUGGGCAUCACUGCCCUCCACAUCAAACUCUGGGCCACAGGAGGAAAUAGGACCAAGACUCCUGGACCAGGGGCCCAGUCAGCGAUCAGAGCCCUCGCCCGCUCAGGGAUGAAGAUUGGGCGGACUGAGGAUGUUACCCACAUCCCCUCUGACAGCACCCGCAGGAAGGGAGGUCGCUGUGGUCACCAUCUGUGA